This 460-nucleotide ribosomal RNA is filed under the name uncultured bacterium. RNAcentral describes it as "partial 16S ribosomal RNA". It matches the Rfam family "Bacterial small subunit ribosomal RNA", at positions 338 to 795 of the family's 1533-position model. The record is from RNAcentral.
CCUACGGGAGGCAGCAGUGAGGACUAUUGGUCCAUGGGCUUACGCCUGAACCAGCCAAGUCGCGUGAGGGAAGACUGCCCUGUGGAUUGUAAACCUCUUUUGUCAGGGAGCAAUUGGCGCUACGUGUAGCGUUAUCUAGAGUACCUGAAGAAAAGGCAUCGGCUAACUCCGUGCCAGCAGCCGCGGUAAUACGGAGGAUGCGAGCGUUAUCCGGAUUUAUUGGGUUUAAAGGUUGCGUAGGCGGACUGCAAAGUCAGCGGUAAAAUCGCGGGGCUAAACCUCGCGGUGCCGUUGAAACUGGCGUGCUGGAGUGGGCGAGAAGUACGCGGAAUGCGUGGUGUAGCGGUGAAAUGCAUAGAUAUUACGCAGAACUCCGAUUGCGAAGGCAGCAUACCGGCGCCCAACUGACGCUGAAGCACGAAAGCGUGGGUAUCGAACAGGAUUAGAUACCCGAGUAGUC